GACGAACGCUGGCGGCGUGCCUAAUACAUGCAAGUUGAGCGCUGAAGGUUGGUACUUGUACCAACUGGAUGAGCAGCGAACGGGUGAGUAACGCGUGGGGAAUCUGCCUUUGAGCGGGGGACAACAUUUGGAAACGAAUGCUAAUACCGCAUAAAAACUUUAAACACAAGUUUUAAGUUUGAAAGAUGCAAUUGCAUCACUCAAAGAUGAUCCCGCGUUGUAUUAGCUAGUUGGUGAGGUAAAGGCUCACCAAGGCGAUGAUACAUAGCCGACCUGAGAGGGUGAUCGGCCACAUUGGGACUGAGACACGGCCCAAACUCCUACGGGAGGCAGCAGUAGGGAAUCUUCGGCAAUGGACGAAAGUCUGACCGAGCAACGCCGCGUGAGUGAAGAAGGUUUUCGGAUCGUAAAACUCUGUUGGUAGAGAAGAGCGUUGGUGAGAGUGGAAAGCUCAUCAAGUGACGGUAACUACCCAGAAAGGGACGGCUAACUACGUG
This 497-nucleotide ribosomal RNA is filed under the name uncultured bacterium. Its description in RNAcentral is "partial 16S ribosomal RNA". It matches the Rfam family "Bacterial small subunit ribosomal RNA", at positions 28 to 507 of the family's 1533-position model. The record is from RNAcentral.